Molecule: ribosomal RNA, 291 nt
Filed under: uncultured Fusobacterium sp.
Lineage: Bacteria; Fusobacteriati; Fusobacteriota; Fusobacteriia; Fusobacteriales; Fusobacteriaceae
Description: partial 16S ribosomal RNA
Rfam family: Bacterial small subunit ribosomal RNA
Source: RNAcentral
GUGCCAGCAGCCGCGGUAAUACGUAUGUCACAAGCGUUAUCCGGAUUUAUUGGGCGUAAAGCGCGUCUAGGUGGUUAUAUAAGUCUGAUGUGAAAAUGCAGGGCUCAACUCUGUAUUGCGUUGGAAACUGUGUAACUAGAGUACUGGAGAGGUAAGCGGAACUACAAGUGUAGAGGUGAAAUUCGUAGAUAUUUGUAGGAAUGCCGAUGGGGAAGCCAGCUUACUGGACAGAUACUGACGCUGAAGCGCGAAAGCGUGGGUAGCAAACAGGAUUAGAUACCCCAGUAGUCC